This 253-nucleotide ribosomal RNA is filed under the name uncultured bacterium. Its description in RNAcentral is "partial 16S ribosomal RNA". It matches the Rfam family "Bacterial small subunit ribosomal RNA", at positions 524 to 776 of the family's 1533-position model. The record is from RNAcentral.
UACGUAGGGGGCUAGCGUUGUCCGGAAUCAUUGGGCGUAAAGCGCGCGUAGGCGGCCAGAUAAGUCCGGUGUGAAAGUCAAAGGCUCAACCUUUGAAUGCCGCUGGAAACUGUCUGGCUAGAGUCCGGAAGGGGCGAGUGGAACUCCUGGUGUAGCGGUGAAAUGCGUAGAGAUCAGGAAGAACAUCGGUGGCGAAGGCGCUCUGCUGGACCAUAACUGACACUCAGGGACGAAAGCUAGGGGAGCGAAUGGG